This 621-nucleotide ribosomal RNA is filed under the name uncultured bacterium. RNAcentral describes it as "bacterial SSU rRNA". It matches the Rfam family "Bacterial small subunit ribosomal RNA", at positions 338 to 951 of the family's 1533-position model. The record is from RNAcentral.
CCUACGGGAGGCAGCAGUGGGGAAUUUUGGACAAUGGGCGAAAGCCUGAUCCAGCCAUACCGCGUGCGGGAAGAAGGCCUUCGGGUUGUAAACCGCUCUUGUCAGGGAAGAAAUACUUCGGGCUAAUACCCUGGGGUGAUGACGGUACCUGAAGAAUAAGCACCGGCUAACUACGUGCCAGCAGCCGCGGUAAUACGUAGGGUGCAAGCGUUAAUCGGAAUUACUGGGCGUAAAGCGUGCGCAGGCGGUUCUAUAAGACAGAUGUGAAAUCCCCGGGCUCAACCUGGGAACUGCAUUUGUGACUGUAGAGCUAGAGUACGGUAGAGGGGGAUGGAAUUCCGCGUGUAGCAGUGAAAUGCGUAGAUAUGCGGAGGAACACCGAUGGCGAAGGCAAUCCCCUGGACCUGUACUGACGCUCAUGCACGAAAGCGUGGGGAGCAAACAGGAUUAGAUACCCUGGUAGUCCACGCCCUAAACGAUGUCAACUGGUUGUUGGGAGGGUUUCUUCUCAGUAACGAAGCUAACGCGUGAAGUUGACCGCCUGGGGAGUACGGCCGCAAGGUUGAAAACUCAAAAGUGAAUUGGAGCGNGAGAGCGCGACGACGACGACGAGGGAGGAGG